Molecule: ribosomal RNA, 253 nt
Filed under: Phocaeicola barnesiae
Lineage: Bacteria; Pseudomonadati; Bacteroidota; Bacteroidia; Bacteroidales; Bacteroidaceae
Also listed under: 1 other name
Description: partial 16S ribosomal RNA
Rfam family: Bacterial small subunit ribosomal RNA
Source: RNAcentral
UACGGAGGAUGCGAGCGUUAUCCGGAUUUAUUGGGUUUAAAGGGAGCGUAGACGGCCGUUUAAGUCAGCUGUGAAAUGGUGCGGCUCAACCGUAGCACUGCAGUUGAAACUGGACGGCUUGAGUGCAGUUGAGGCAGGCGGAAUUCGUGGUGUAGCGGUGAAAUGCUUAGAUAUCACGAAGAACCCCGAUUGCGAAGGCAGCCUGCUAAGCUGCAACUGACGUUGAGGCUCGAAAGUGUGGGUAUCAAACAGG